CUAACUGCAACCUCCGCCUCCAGGGUUCAAGUGAUUCUCCUGCCUCAGCCUCCUGAGUAGCUGGGAUUACAUGUGUGCGCCACCACACCUGGCUAAUUUUUUGUGUAUUUUUAAGGAGAGACGGGGUUUCAUCAUGUUGGUCAGGGUGGUCUCAAAUUCCUGACCUCGUGAUCUGCCUGCCUCAGCUUCCCAAAGUGCUGGGAUUAUAGGCGUGAGCCACCCUGCCCGGCCUGAUUUUUCUAAUUCUAUAUGAGUUUAUAGAACCUAAGUCUCACUACACAAUGCAUGAUAACUAUUUUUAAUCAAAUAGUAAAUAAUUACACAACUAUACACUUUGAAUAAAUUGGAUACAUAAUUUAAAUUCUACUUAACAAAUUAUCAGUCACCAAAGGUUACAUUUACAAUAUAUCUAAAUAUAUAGUGGAUGUAUUUUUUCUUUUUUAAUUACAAGCUAAUAAUUUUAGCAGUUGAACAGUUGAAAAUUAAAAUAUUUUUAUUGCACUUCUACAUGUUGGCUGGGUUAUAAUGAUAAAUGGUAAGAAAAAGAAACAGAAUUAUAUUUAAUAGAAGCACCUAUAAGAUUAGAUAUUUAUUCAGGAAAAACCAGAAGUCGUCCAACUGAUUGAUCAUAUGGUUGAAAGAGACAUGAAGAGCAAAAGCUAGGACUUGGGAGUGUACACAAAUGGAUAGCUGAAUGUGCUAAUAGAAAUCAGGAUAUAGACUUGUAAUCGCAACUCCCAACAAGUUAGGGAAUAAAUGUAUUGUCUUGGCCUUUCAUGAAAGAAGCAGGUGAUUUAAACUGCCUUGCCAGUAACCGGAAUAAAUGUUUGCUUUCAUAGGCAACAGAAGAAAACUUUAUAAGUGCAAAGAAAUGAAACAGCUAAUAGAAGUAAAACUUUACAGGCACCAAAGCUCUAAAAUCCCAUGCCAUGUUAAAUGUUAAAUGACUAAUAGUACUAAUAGUUCUAUGCUGUUUGGAAGAAAUACACCUUUACUAUUCCUAAAUCCUUCCUAAGAGUAGUAGAUCAUACUACUCCUUCCUAGGAGUAGUAGUUUUGGGCUAAAAUUAUCCCUGGGCUCUCAGUAAUGCCAAUUGAUGUCAUCACUUGGACAGUGUCAGGAAACUGAAGGAAAUAGUUUCUGCUUUUGGUCUGUGUAAACUAUUUUUCAAAAGCCUGGGGUAUUCUGUUCUUUCCCAGAGAGGGAAAGGAAAGGAAUUUCAGAACGAGGAUGCUGAUAUACUUUAGAAAGCUGCUACAGGUUACAGGCGCCUCUCUCGCUUGAUAGUAAGGUAUACCUACAUGUGUAAGUGGGAGAAAAGAGCUAGUCAAGGAGAAACAUUGGCUUCUGGUGCCACAUUGAAAAUUGCAGGUCAAGUUAAUGACUAAGUCCAUUUGAGCUAGAGCUAACCAGCAAGGGUUUUUCCACGUUUUUCUUUUGGCUCAAACUUGGAGCAAUUUUGACCCAAAAGACGGAGAAGAAGCGGGAGAAUGCUCAAGGUGAGAAAGAAAGGUCCCUUUUUGUGAGGUUUGGGCUUCAGGUACCUUUGUUAUGAACUUGAGCAGGAGUUAUACUCUGACGUGUUGCCCUGCAGGAUAAAACCACUGAAGGGAAGGUCACUGUGAAAAGGUAAGCCACAGACUGGGAGAAGGUAUUCGCAACACAUAUCACCAAACACGAAUAAAUGGCCAGAAUAUAUGAAGAAUUCCUACAAAUCAGUAAGAAAAAGACCAACUAAUCUUUAAAGUGGGCAAAGAUUCACUGGUUCCUUUGGAGGAGAAGAAAAAAAGGCAUGUUUGGCCCAGGCCUGCUGGAAAAUGCUGGCAAGCAUGAGUGCAGAGGUCCAAGUGUCUGCACCAAUGCCACAGAACUGGAGUAGUGCCAUGCCCAAGACCUGGAGAGCACAUGGGAGAUGUAGCUCUGUGCAGGAAUAAGUACUGGCUCUCAAAGCCAGGGCUGGCCUGGCCACUACACGGCAGAGAGGCAGGGCACUCUUCCUGAACCCCAACUCAGUAUUUUCUUCAAGGCUACUACUACAGGAACACUAUUAAGAAGAUCUAAAUGAUGAUAAACUAGGGAAGUACUAACAUAGAUGUGGCUUGGCCUUGUUCCUGACUCAGAUAAUCUGACUUCUGUCAAUGUUAUAGGAAUUCUACCUGCUCAGUUUCUUAAUAGUUAAGGUUAGAUCAAACACGUUCCAGAGGUCAGAACUCAGCACUCUAAACCAUUGACGCAGGGUUUGGAGAUGUGAUCUGUCGAACCACCUAACCUUCUGAAUCAUAUUCCAAACCCAAUCAUACUCCACACCCAAAAGAUUACGGGGAGAAAUAUAAAAGUUAAUGCAUGAAAAGUGUCUUCUUAAAUCACCAACACUCAUCUUCCCAAGACAAAACUUUAUUUGAAGCAUCAAGCAAUAUACUGAAAGAAGUGUCAUGCUCAAGUAAUGUUCUUAUUUCCAUAAUUGUACAUAUGCUUUUAUACAUAAC
RNAcentral lists this long non-coding RNA (2486 nucleotides) under Homo sapiens (human). RNAcentral's name for it is "HSALNT0125677". The record is from RNAcentral. Lineage: Eukaryota; Metazoa; Chordata; Mammalia; Primates; Hominidae.